Molecule: ribosomal RNA, 1259 nt
Filed under: wastewater metagenome
Description: bacterial SSU rRNA
Rfam family: Bacterial small subunit ribosomal RNA
Source: RNAcentral
AGAGUUUGAUCCUGGCUCAGGACGAACGCUGGCGGCGCGCCUAACACAUGCAAGUCGAACGGAGUUAUUUUCUUCACUCCGAGCUUUUUACCAGUUAGCCGGAGCGGCAAUCGGUUUUGCCCAGCAUACAAAGCAAAACCGAUUUAGGCUCAUAAAGUAAGACUAACACAGAGGGCAGAGAGUUGGGAGUGAAGAAAAUAACUUAGUGGCGAACGGGUGAGUAACGCGUGAGUAACCUGCCCUGGAGUGGGGGACAACAGUUGGAAACGACUGCUAAUACCGCAUAAGCCCACGGAGCCGCAUGGCUCUGAGGGAAAAGGAUUUAUUCGCUUCAGGAUGGACUCGCGUCCAAUUAGCUAGUUGGUGAGGUAACGGCCCACCAAGGCGACGAUUGGUAGCCGGACUGAGAGGUUGAACGGCCACAUUGGGACUGAGACACGGCCCAGACUCCUACGGGAGGCAGCAGUGGGGGAUAUUGCACAAUGGGGGAAACCCUGAUGCAGCGACGCCGCGUGGAGGAAGAAGGUUUUCGGAUUGUAAACUCCUGUCGUUAGGGACGAUAAUGACGGUACCUAACAAGAAAGCACCGGCUAACUACGUGCCAGCAGCCGCGGUAAAACGUAGGGUGCAAGCGUUGUCCGGAAUUACUGGGUGUAAAGGGAGCGCAGGCGGACCGGCAAGUUGGAAGUGAAAACUAUGGGCUCAACCCAUAAAUUGCUUUCAAAACUGCUGGCCUUGAGUAGUGCAGAGGUAGGUGGAAUUCCCGGUGUAGCGGUGGAAUGCGUAGAUAUCGGGAGGAACACCAGUGGCGAAGGCGACCUACUGGGCACCAACUGACGCUGAGGCUCGAAAGUGUGGGUAGCAAACAGGAUUAGAUACCCUGGUAGUCCAUGCCGUAAACGAUGAUUACUAGGUGUUGGAGGAUUGACCCCUUCAGUGCCGCAGUUAACACAAUAAGUAAUCCACCUGGGGAGUACGACCGCAAGGUUGAAACUCAAAGGAAUUGACGGGGGCCCGCACAAGCAGUGGAGUAUGUGGUUUAAUUCGAAGCAACGCGAAGAACCUUACCAGGUCUUGACAUCCGAUGCAUAGCACAGAGAUGUGUGAAGUCCUUCGGGACAUCGAGACAGGUGGUGCAUGGUUGUCGUCAGCUCGUGUCGUGAGAUGUUGGGUUUAGUCCCGCAACGAGCGCAACCCUUAUUGCCAGUUACUACGCAAGAGGACUCUGGCGAGACUGCCGUUGACAAAACGGAGGAAGG